ACUCUUGGCGAUGAUGACUUGGUGUCGUACCUGCUUGCAGGACUCGACAUCGAAUACAACCCUCUUGUGACCUUGAUGACCACCUCUCUUGCUCGAUCUGACAAGGUUUCCAUCAGCGAUCUUUACUCACAGGUCGUCAGCUUCGAUU
This 148-nucleotide small nucleolar RNA is filed under the name Brachypodium distachyon (stiff brome). RNAcentral describes it as "Small nucleolar RNA Z247". It matches the Rfam family "Small nucleolar RNA Z247". Rfam says of the family: Z247 is a member of the C/D class of snoRNA which contain the C (UGAUGA) and D (CUGA) box motifs. Most of the members of the box C/D family function in directing site-specific 2'-O-methylation of substrate RNAs. Lineage: Eukaryota; Viridiplantae; Streptophyta; Magnoliopsida; Poales; Poaceae. The record is from Rfam by way of RNAcentral.